This 292-nucleotide ribosomal RNA is filed under the name uncultured bacterium. RNAcentral describes it as "partial 16S ribosomal RNA". It matches the Rfam family "Bacterial small subunit ribosomal RNA", at positions 505 to 796 of the family's 1533-position model. The record is from RNAcentral.
GUGCCAGCAGCCGCGGUAAGACAGAGGUGCCGAGCGUUAGGCGGAAUCACUGGGCUUAAAGCGUGUGUAGGCGGACUUGUAAGUACCUUGUGAAAUCCCACAGCUCAACUGUGGAACUGCUUGGUAUACUGCUUGUCUUGAGCCACUUAGGGGCAGUCGGAACAGACGGUGGAGCGGUGAAAUGCGUAGAUAUCGUCUGGAACGCCAAAGGUGAAAACAGACUGCUGGGAGUGUGCUGACGCUGAGACACGAAAGCCAGGGGAGCAAACGGGAUUAGAAACCCCGGUAGUCC